This 484-nucleotide ribosomal RNA is filed under the name uncultured bacterium. Its description in RNAcentral is "partial 16S ribosomal RNA". It matches the Rfam family "Bacterial small subunit ribosomal RNA", at positions 30 to 507 of the family's 1533-position model. The record is from RNAcentral.
AUUGAACGCUGGCGGCAGGCCUAACACAUGCAAGUCGAGCGGAUGAAGGGAGCUUGCUCCUGGAUUCAGCGGCGGACGGGUGAGUAAUGCCUAGGAAUCUGCCUGGUAGUGGGGGAUAACGUCCGGAAACGGGCGCUAAUACCGCUUACGUCCUGAGGGAGAAAGUGGGGGAUCUUCGGACCUCACGCUAUCAGAUGAGCCUAGGUCGGAUUAGCUAGUUGGUGGGGUAAAGGCCUACCAAGGCGACGAUCCGUAACUGGUCUGAGAGGAUGAUCAGUCACACUGGAACUGAGACACGGUCCAGACUCCUACGGGAGGCAGCAGUGGGGAAUAUUGGACAAAGGGCGAAAGCCUGAUCCAGCCAUGCCGCGUGUGUGAAGAAGGUCUUCGGAUUGUAAAGCACUUUAAGUUGGGAGGAAGGGCAGUAAGUUAAUACCUUGCUGUUUUGACGUUACCAACAGAAUAAGCACCGGCUAACUUCGUG